AUGUGUGUCCCAAAAGACCAAUGAGAAAUGGUUUUCCGUGAUAUACACUGCUUUAACCUGGCCUUGUUAGCAAAACAAGCUUGGAAUCUCUUGGAUAAUCCUGAAUCAUUAUAUGCAACAAUCCUAAGAGCCAAGUAUUUCCCAUAGGGCGAUUUGAUGAGCGCAGUACUAAAAAAGGGCUCCUCUUUUACUUGGCAAAGCAUUAUGGCGGGAGUGGAUUCUCUCAGGAAUGGAUAUAUAUGGAGAGUGGGAAUAGGAGAAAAUAUUGACAUAUGGAGAGAUGCAUGGAUCCUAAAUUGUGCAGAUAGGAAAAUUAUUACACCUAGAAGAGGGAAUCUCCUGACAAAAGUUUCUGAUCUUAUUGACCCAGUUACGAAUUGUUGGGAUGAAUAG
RNAcentral lists this ribosomal RNA (393 nucleotides) under Triticum aestivum (bread wheat). Its description in RNAcentral is "partial small subunit ribosomal RNA". The record is from RNAcentral. Lineage: Eukaryota; Viridiplantae; Streptophyta; Magnoliopsida; Poales; Poaceae.